RNAcentral lists this ribosomal RNA (1405 nucleotides) under Lactiplantibacillus plantarum subsp. plantarum. RNAcentral's name for it is "bacterial SSU rRNA". It matches the Rfam family "Bacterial small subunit ribosomal RNA", at positions 65 to 1440 of the family's 1533-position model. Lineage: Bacteria; Bacillati; Bacillota; Bacilli; Lactobacillales; Lactobacillaceae. The record is from RNAcentral.
AACUCUGGUAUUGAUUGGUGCUUGCAUCAUGAUUUACAUUUGAGUGAGUGGCGAACUGGUGAGUAACACGUGGGAAACCUGCCCAGAAGCGGGGGAUAACACCUGGAAACAGAUGCUAAUACCGCAUAACAACUUGGACCGCAUGGUCCGAGUUUGAAAGAUGGCUUCGGCUAUCACUUUUGGAUGGUCCCGCGGCGUAUUAGCUAGAUGGUGGGGUAACGGCUCACCAUGGCAAUGAUACGUAGCCGACCUGAGAGGGUAAUCGGCCACAUUGGGACUGAGACACGGCCCAAACUCCUACGGGAGGCAGCAGUAGGGAAUCUUCCACAAUGGACGAAAGUCUGAUGGAGCAACGCCGCGUGAGUGAAGAAGGGUUUCGGCUCGUAAAACUCUGUUGUUAAAGAAGAACAUAUCUGAGAGUAACUGUUCAGGUAUUGACGGUAUUUAACCAGAAAGCCACGGCUAACUACGUGCCAGCAGCCGCGGUAAUACGUAGGUGGCAAGCGUUGUCCGGAUUUAUUGGGCGUAAAGCGAGCGCAGGCGGUUUUUUAAGUCUGAUGUGAAAGCCUUCGGCUCAACCGAAGAAGUGCAUCGGAAACUGGGAAACUUGAGUGCAGAAGAGGACAGUGGAACUCCAUGUGUAGCGGUGAAAUGCGUAGAUAUAUGGAAGAACACCAGUGGCGAAGGCGGCUGUCUGGUCUGUAACUGACGCUGAGGCUCGAAAGUAUGGGUAGCAAACAGGAUUAGAUACCCUGGUAGUCCAUACCGUAAACGAUGAAUGCUAAGUGUUGGAGGGUUUCCGCCCUUCAGUGCUGCAGCUAACGCAUUAAGCAUUCCGCCUGGGGAGUACGGCCGCAAGGCUGAAACUCAAAGGAAUUGACGGGGGCCCGCACAAGCGGUGGAGCAUGUGGUUUAAUUCGAAGCUACGCGAAGAACCUUACCAGGUCUUGACAUACUAUGCAAAUCUAAGAGAUUAGACGUUCCCUUCGGGGACAUGGAUACAGGUGGUGCAUGGUUGUCGUCAGCUCGUGUCGUGAGAUGUUGGGUUAAGUCCCGCAACGAGCGCAACCCUUAUUAUCAGUUGCCAGCAUUAAGUUGGGCACUCUGGUGAGACUGCCGGUGACAAACCGGAGGAAGGUGGGGAUGACGUCAAAUCAUCAUGCCCCUUAUGACCUGGGCUACACACGUGCUACAAUGGAUGGUACAACGAGUUGCGAACUCGCGAGAGUAAGCUAAUCUCUUAAAGCCAUUCUCAGUUCGGAUUGUAGGCUGCAACUCGCCUACAUGAAGUCGGAAUCGCUAGUAAUCGCGGAUCAGCAUGCCGCGGUGAAUACGUUCCCGGGCCUUGUACACACCGCCCGUCACACCAUGAGAGUUUGUAACACCCAAAGUCGGUGGGGUAACC